UGAAGUUUUGCCUUCACCUGCCACUGUGGUCAGGUCACUGAACAUUUCUAUUUGCCACUCAUUAUUUGUCUGCCACUUCUAAAAUCGAUGUAGAACGCUUAAUUGACAAUGCUAAAAUGUCUUUUAAAAUGCCAUAAAUUAAAUCAUAGCAUUGUAUUCCAUUCAAGUCAUAAUAAAGAAUGUCUUAAAAAAGUUGUAGGUAUAGUAAGGUAUGUAAUAUAAAGUCCUCGUUGUGCAUUCCAUAAAAAAGUCAUAUAUAAAGUCAUAGUUUAGUAUGAUCAUAACCAAUCAUUGACAAAUCAAAGUAUAGUAGUUUAUGUGAAAAUGUACAGACAAUUUCCUAGUAUAUAAAUCAUUAACAAUACCAUAGUAUAGUUUAUCGUAAAACAAUUAUAAAAAAAGGAAGGAUAGAGUUCAGAUGGGGUGUACAUGAGAAAAGGGAGAGGUCUUUAGGGCGCCUUGCUGUAUCAGGCAGAUAUUAUUAUUAAUACAGUAGAUCAAACUUACUGCUCGUUCUGUGUCUCCUAGGAAGCCAUCCAGGAUCUGUCAGCUCUUUGCAAGAUUGUGUUUGCUUGCUAAUCUCUAACAAUGUAUCCGUGUCUUUAAAUCACUCUGAUCCAUGUAUGUGUUUCUCUUCUUUUCUUUACUGCUUUCAUGUCUUUGUUAUUGUGUUUCUCACAGACUAAAGAUUGUCUUCGCAGACUGUCUCACCUGCCUGCCUCCUGCAUGCCCAGACAACAAUCCAUACAGAACUUAUUAAUGUGUGUGUGUGUGUGUGACAUAACAAGAUCUUUUGUGCUUACAGGAGGGUGUUAAAGACAAAGAAGACAUGAAACAGUUCAGCACAGCCUUGGAAGGUGACCAGUCUCCGGUGGAGAGGAUCAGAUGGGCGGUGAGAGCUGUGCUGGGGGGUUGACUGUUCCUGCAUCAGUAAGCGUGGGCUGCCAGAAGGACUAAAGGGCUGACGGUGCUGGGCGGCAGAGGCUGGGUCAGGGAAAAUGGUCCUGCCAGAGCCCGGUGCCUGGCCCUCUCAGGGGUUCGCCUGCUCCCUGUGCAAAACGGCUGUUCAGCAGCCUGGAGCAUCUGAGGGAACACGAGUACCACCACACCCUGUCUCUGAUGGCCUUGUCUCUGGACUGGCCAAACAUGCAGGGUCCGCACCACCAACCUACUCAGCUCCGUCACCAUCCACAAUCCCAGCCUCUUCACUUCUUCCAGUCUCUCUGCCGCCCGCACAGUGGGCCGAGCCCACGUCGGCCCGCUCAUUUGCUCCCCAGUGCCCCGCAAGCUUCACCCUCAAAUCAAACGCAGACAGACACGAGAAGACCAUCCACUUCAAGAAGAAGCUGAUGCAGUGUGUGUGCUGUAUGAAACACUUCAGAGACCGCACCGACCUGCACAGGCAUCUGUCCUCCGUGCACUCCAAAGAAAGAGGGCACACCUUGCCCCGCCUGUGCCAAGGCUUUUAGCACCCAGAAAAACCUGGCGACACAUGUUAAAGUGUGCUGCCAGAUGGGGUCAACGCCAGGAGCUCUGCUGGGAGGCAGCACUGGGAUGGAAAUGACUCAGGGUGGGGUUAUAGAUUCCCUGUGGAGGUUUUCUCAUGAGAGGAAAGUUGACAAUCAUGAUCUCAGUAUCAAUGUGGAAAAUUGAGGCAGACUUUGUGCACUCAUUUAUACCCAUCAGUUAGCAGCGUAUCCUCACGUGUUUACGUUCACCAAGAUGCUCUGUGGCGCAAUUGCACUAAGAAAGAAAACGUGAACACAUCAUCUUGGGACACCUUUUUUAAAUUGUGUUUCUUUUGUUAAAUAUUGUUUAUAUAUGUCAGUAUUUUUUUAACUAGAAUCAAGAGCUUACGUCAACAAUGGACAAUUGCUAUGCAAAGCUGAGCUGUUUAAUGAACUGACAGUUUCUUAGUUAUCUUUGGGUUUCGGAAAGGUUUCAGUUUGCACUGAUUGGACAAAAACAGGUGAAUAACCUUUGGUUGCGUUGCCAAGUGGGUCGAGGGGGGGGGUGGGGUCGUUCCGUCUCACCAACCUAAAGCACUUGUCUGGCUCUCUGUCGCCAGUCACCAGUCUGACUAAACUCUUCUCUCCUUUUUAGGCAGAGAGAUCUUUAUCUGUGUGUCCACCCCUGCACUAUGGGCACAAAGACACUCAGGCUUUACUUUGGCUCACAACCCACACAACCACACCACCUGCAGGAACUUUGUACAAUUGCAGCAUGAGAGCAGAAUAAAGACACAAAGUAGAUUAUGUCCAAGGCCAGUGAUAGCUCAAAAAUGGCUUGAAAACGAAAUGGGAUGGUGGUUACUUUUCUUCAAACUGAAACUCAAAGAAAAAUCACGAAGUAAUUGUAUCACCAUCCCCACUGGACACGUAGAGUCUCCGUCUUCAGUUAUCCCUCUGACAUGAUUACCUUCAGUCAUUGCUGUCAGAUAGUGGCAGAUGGAGGGGAUGUGCCCAAUGAGACAAAGCGUGCUAAAACAAUAAAGCAGUAGCAGCUCAGAUGGGGGUUGGGUGGUGUGUUCAUUUCUCUCUCCUCUGUCCUUCUCCUCCGUCCCAUAUCUGUAAGUCCUCUGUUGGCCAGAGCUGGACAGUAAUUGGUCCUUCAUGGCUCUGUCCCCUCUUGACCCCUGACCUCUUCAUCUGAAGAGGAAGUAGGGUCAGAGGGGCAGAUGAGCAUCGUGAUGCCACUGCUGCGGACAGAUAAUGGUUUGGUUUGUGAGACAAGUGGUUAAACGCAGGAGAGGAAUAUUCCUGUCGAUGGUGAAGACAGUAACGCAGAGGGUGUUAUAGAGCUGCAGGAUAUUGGAAUCAGCAUGAGCAUUGGCUUCAAAAUCAUCGCUAAUGUAAAUUCACACCAAUUUCUGCCAAAAUGUUCUCAGCAGGCCUGUAACUAUAAACCAAUAUAUUUCCUUGAUACCAAAUGAUAACGCUGUUUUUGUGAGUAUCCAAAUGGAAGACAUCCACCUGUGUGUCCUUCUAAUAGUCUACAGUCGCUCCAACACAUAGGACUAUUUCUGUGGCUCAGUAAAGGAAGAAAAGGUGGGGAAUAUGCUGUUGUGUAAACAUACACACCAAGUACUCCCAAAUGCCAAAUCCUUUCUAAUAUGACACCCCAGGUAGGGUGUCCUAGCCAGCAGAAACCGAACUGGCAGGCUCAGAGAAGUCAGGAACUCUGCAGAGAGAAGCCAGUCAGAAGAAAUGGCAAAUACUGUAAAGGGUGUUGUGUGGCUCGUUCUGUAAAUGUGUUGUAAAUACUGAAAAGUAUUUUACUCCAGAUUAUACUUAUUUUCCUUGGGAAAAAAACACAUUUUGUACAGAGAUAGGACAUUUUUAAUAAUCCUGCUUGUAGUUUUUGAUGCUGUAAUUAAAACUGUGAUGCAAAGUGAAAUGAAAACCUCUCCGUAGUUCUUUAUCUUUUAUCCGUGCCGUGCAUAUCAUUCACACAAUCAUAAAUAUUCCUUUCUUUGUCUUUUCAUUUUAAACUCACCGCUCAGCAGAAUAUUUUCUGAAUAAGAUGUCCGUAUCAGUUUGUGCAUUUGAUGUGUGCUUGCAUGUUUUUGUGCUGUUGAGUGUUUAAAUCAGGGCAGAAGUCGAUUUGCAGAUUGAGGUAAUUAUAUUGUAUCACUUUAAGCCUAAAACCCUAAACUGUGUGUGUGACCCCACCUUUCUUUACAGUAGUUAUGUUGUGUUGUGCGUGAGUACCCGACAUCCAGUCCUGAUCUCUCAUGGUCAUACACUGUAUGCCUUGACUGCAAAGCUUUUCAACACACAAUCUGUUUACUUUGAUGCCGUUCACCUGGCCUAACAACCAUUUGAGUCUAGACCUGAGAUUAUUGGGCCUUUCCACACCUCUAAGAUUGUGACAAGUUAUUAACAUUAGUUUUCUGUUCAUUUCAUUGCUAAAGCAUCUCUUUGUGUGUGUGAUUUUAUUUCCUAGCCCCCAGGGCCUCUUGUCAUUGUCUGUGUUUGUCUUUCUGUCUGUGUAUUGCUGUCCAUAGCAGAGACCCUCUAGAGCAACUAAAGCAGACUGACUGUUGUGUGUCGUGUUUAUAGUAUCUCUUCGCCUUUAUUGCUUUAGUAUGGAGGAAGAGCUGUUGCCAGGGCAACUGUAGCUUUGACUGGGAUUGGGGUGACCAUGGGAAUUGAUGGUACAUUUCUAGUCCUUGCCGCUAAUUAAAUGUAAUAACUGAAAAGUAAACGUCUUGGUUUAUUUAAAAGAGCUUAAUUGAACACUAAUCCUUUUUUGUAUUCUUUUUUUCUCUCCCUCUUGCUGUCCUUACAGUGAAUGACUUCACCGUGAUCCGUAAAAAGUUCAAGUGCCCCUACUGCGGUUUCUCUGCUAUGCACCAGUGCAUCCUAAAAAGGCACAUGCGCUCCCACACCGGCGAGAGGCCCCUACCCCUGUGAAAUCUGUGGCAAGAAGUUCACCAGGAGGGAGCACAUGAAGCGGCACACACUGGUCCACAGUAAAGACAAGAAGUAUGUGUGUAAAGUAUGCAGCCGAGUCUCAUGUCGGCAGCCAGCGUGGGAAUCAAACACGGCUCUCGGCGUCACGGCGUCUGCGCAGACUGCUCUGGCCGAGGCAUGGCCGCGCUGCUGGACCACAACGGGGAGGUGGGAGGAGACAUCUCCCCCGAGGAGGAGCUGUAUCCUGGGGACCGUUUCCACGAUGACCAGGCAGAGGUGACGGUGAUUGGAGACGGCGAGGAGGAGAUGAUGGUGGAAGGGGACGGGAGAGAUGAUGGGAGAAGGGGAGGAGAAGGAGGGAAGUGGAAAGACUCGGGGAUGACCUCCGAGGCACACGGCGCACUGGACAAUGAGAAGGAGGAGAGCGACUCCUCGGCACAGGAGGGGGAGCAGCAGAACGGGAGCGAGAGGGACUUCGCCUGGAUCUCCUAGAAUCUGUCAGGCUCCUGUCAGCGGCUCAUCAACCAAUCUCUGAAGAUCUCUUGAGAUCUCUCGGGUAGAAUCCUCUGCUCUCUUUACCCAUUCGUCCAACUGUGGGCAGGCCUUCCUUUGAAUGGAAAUGCUGUAGGGUAAUGCGCGACAAUGAUCUAAAACCAUUACGAGUAACACACAGACACACACUCAAAUGCACAUACACACAAAACACAUACCACACACACACACACACAACACACAACACACGACACACACACACACACACACACCACACACACCACACACACCAACACACACACACACACACACACAACACACCACACACACACACACACACACACACACACACACACACACACACACACACACACACUUUGGCUAUUCUCACCUUGACUGCCAUAGUAGAAGAAGAGAGGUCGAGAGAUGGCUAAGGUGCAAGGCUUUUUCUGCUUACCUCCUUUUACUUCUGAUGCAGUGCUUUUGUGUUUCUUUUUCUUGAGGGUUCAGGCCAGAGUCCAGUAGUUGUCUACUCUGUCACAACAGGAAUCAACGAGGACGCUGCCAAGGACAUGGCCAAUGCAACUUUGUAUGUUUGCCAUCACAAUCACCAUGGAAACCAAGGAUCACUGACAGUGUAUGGAAAAAGCCAAGAGGGUGAGGGUGUCUUGGUGCCACCUGGACUGUAAUGUUUGUGGGGAAAGUGUCUCUCUACAAGGGAAAGGGAGAGUCUAAAUCUAUUGCAAAGCUACGUGUGUCGGAGCGGGCAGCUCGACGGCACAUUGUUGAUGCAGAGUCCUACUGCCACAGACUUGCACUUUAACGACAACUGACUCCUAUCAAAGCCCUGAACCCGUGGUUUACAUUUUUGAUCUGAUCUUUACCUAAACAACUCGGUGACCGCACCUACCUUUAAGGAUAUACUUUAUGUCCUCUUGACUGUUAUAUAGAAAUCACUGAAUCUUUGUGCAGAUUGCUGUUUAUAUAGCCUAUGCCUUUUCGAUGGGGUCCUUAAUCUUUUCUUUACUUAAGUUAACCACACGGUUUCUGCCAAUCCAUCCCAACAAAUACUGGAGAUUUGAGUAAUGUACAUACGUUUUUGGGGGAUUUUAAAAGGGGAGUGUGUGUGAGACGGCAAGAGACGGAGAGAGUGUAUGUCAGAGUUUAUACACAACGUGGAGAUCUGUUUCUGCUUCCCUGGUUGAAGAUUCAACAAUGAUCCACAGGACCUACACUAUUAACUCUUUCUGUGUCUCUCACUGUCUCUGGUUCUCUCAGUGGAGGUUGUGAUGAUGGGACCUGAGAACCAUGUCUUUCACACUGAAGGAGGAGCUGCCUUUGUUAAAAAAAAGUUUGGUAUCUUUUUCUUUUUUCCUGUCAUGUAAUAUCAGAAUAUGUAGUCUCCCUCCAUGGUUUCAACUUUCUUUUGGUCAUAUAUUUUCUUCGGUUUUGUUUAAAGAAAAGGAUCAAAUUGUGCUUGAAAUGUCUGAGUCUGAUAAUCUUAGAGAGUGUAAUAUUAACUGUUUUUGUUUUAACAGCUAUUUAUUGAAAACCUGUUUGUGGAUUUCCAAUUAUUUUUGAGAAGUCAUUCUCUCUCUCUCUCUCUCUCUCUCUCUCUCUCUCUCUCUCUCUCUCUCUCUCGUCUCCUCUCUCUCUCUCUCUCUCUCUCUCUCUCUCUCUCUCUCUCUCUCUCUCUCUCUCUCUCUCUCUCUCUCUCUCUGGGGUGGAUCAGGAUGGGUGUUUGUAUGCAAGAAUGCUUGAGUGUCCCAAAAAAAGUCUAUAUUGAUUUAUAAGAUUAUUUCCAUGUUUAUCUGCGAUGUUAUGACAAUUCAAGUGAGGCAGGUGACAUGUCUUAUUAUUAUUAUGUUUAUCAGAACAAUGGUUACUGUUGUUGAUGUUACUAUUAUUAAUUAUUAUUAAGUGCUGGAUGCUAAGCUUUAUUGUGUGUUCUUGUUUUGAUAUUUUAUAUCUUGUACAAGAAAAAAGCUUUUAUACUUUGCCUUGUUGUGGACAGCAAGCCAUAAGGCUUUUAUCAACCUUUUAUUGUGCCAGUUUACGCUUUUUCUGUCGUAUUUGCUUUUUUUACCAAGGGUAAAAACAACUUCACUGUCAAACUUUUAGAUAUUGAUUGAAACAUAUAUUCAGCACACGCUUUUGCAUCACUUAGCCUAUGUACACUAAUUGAUAAAUAUCAAACCAAAAACAAUCUAUUACCUUGUAUACAUGAAGUGCUUUCGUUUUACAGUCUGUAUGUGCAGGUGCUUUUUUGGAUUUUAUUGUUGUGGUUAACAGUUUUGUUGUUGGGUUGUUUUUAUUUUUUGAACCUGUCACUAUUUGUCACAGUUUGAAAAAGUGCACAUGUUAUGGUAUUAUUGUGAAUAUGAAGAAGGGCUGUGUGAAAGUACCAGCCAGCUUUUGAAGAUCGCAUCUGAAAACCAAGCUGAUCAUUUUGUAGUUUCUACUGUCUCACGCCUUGCAUGACACACAAUCACGUAGAAAUGCAGCAUGCAGACAAUGCUUCCUCUCAGACAGUGUUUCGUUUACAUGCUGGGUUUCUAUCUGCCAUACUGGCGUAAAUCUUAACAAUAAAAGGGAAAGUGAGCGCUGCAGUAGUAACUCUGGGAAACCUUUUGUCGCCUGUCUGCUACAGGUGACUGCACUUCCCAUCAACCCCCACUUAGAAGCUCUGUACAAUUUGAUUUGUGAUGCUUUCUUCACAUCUGGCUACCGUCUAUAUUUUGUUUGUAUAAUUUAUUGUGUUUUUGUUUCGACCCAUUUUGUAAAAGUUUUGGGUAGAAAAAAGAAGAAGAACAAAGUCAAUGGGGUAGGAUUUUAAUGAAUGUCAAUGGUGGGUGUGGAAGGAGCCCAUGAUCGGCGACAAAUCUCUGUCCUGUGGUUCUGUUUAGCCACUGAGAGACAUCUGGAUGUAUGUGUGACUCCCCUGCCCUGCGCUCUUCUCACGACCUGUACUGUAUGUCUUCUUCCUCAUACUGGGUUGUACUUCAGGAAAAACGUCUGCCAUCAACCCCUCAAUAUGUGCCUCAAUGACAUUUCACCCGUGUGCUUGUGAGAGUGUGUGUUUCCGAGAGAUGUGUAUGUGUUUGUGUCGACGGAUAGAGAUUACUUAGAUGCGACCGAUCAGAUUAGAGGUGCAAAAUGUUUCGGAGGAGGACAAAUCAUGAUGGGCGACUAGAUUCUCCUUCCCACCAUAUGUUGAUGACCUUUUGUGCCCUGAUUCUGUGGUCUUAACUGCAUGCCUGUGCUCAUUUUGUCAUACCAAAGCGACGUCUUCGGCAUCUGCACACAACUGUCUCAUUCCACAUGAUGCAAAACUGGAACUGUUUGCUCUAUUGCAGAUGAUUAUGGGUAUUCUUAGACGUGUACAAAUUGCAAUCCUCAUUUAGCCUGUAUAGCUUGAUUCACACGUGCAAAUCAUGAAGCCAUAGAUAUGGGUAUAUCUAUAUUCUAUAUUUCAAAUUUGGCGCUUUUUACUUUAGAUUUUGUUCUUCUACUAAGAGUGAUGUGUGUAUACCUUCAUAUAUAUGAAUUUAUAUUACGAUUAUAUAUUAUUUAUUUUCUCAAGUUUCAGAGGGUCUUUGAUUUGUGAAAGGUCACGCUUGAGGUUUGUUUAUUUUCAUUGGCAAUAUUGUUCAAUAUGAUACUGACUUUAUAUUAUCAUAAACCUGUGUUUGUAACAAAAUGUGUUAAAUAAUCAAAAAAAAACCUGUCCUGUUUUUACACCUGUUUUGUUUUCGGGCAGAUUUAUGUGCUCUUGUGCAGAUAUUUUUUUUCGGUUGACAGUACUGAUCACAAAACAUUUUUACAGCCAACCAUGAGCCUCCUGUUUUGAUGUUGGGGCGGGCCCAGCGGCCGUCCAAGCCUCUUUCUAACUUCAUGUUUAGUGGAAGAAUUAGCUUGACUAUUAUUUGCAAAAACCAAUCAGUCUCAAUAAAUUUUGAAAUUGCUGCUGUAAAGAAGUAA
Gymnodraco acuticeps is the source of this 8888-nucleotide RNA transcript. It is a transcript of the gene named zinc finger and BTB domain-containing protein 46-like, with no coding region annotated. The record is from RefSeq and is a predicted model, not a curated record. The transcript is spliced from 3 exons. NCBI's taxonomy places the organism in Eukaryota, Metazoa, Chordata, Actinopteri, Perciformes, Bathydraconidae.